AGAGCGUAGAGUGAAUGCCUUGGCAUUGGGAGCCGACGAAGGACGUGGUUAACUGCGAAAAGCUACGGGGAGUCGUAAGCAGACAUUGAUCCGUAGAUGUCCGAAUGGAGCAAUCCGCAUGGAGUUAGUCUAUGCAUCCAUAAGUGAAUUCAUAGCUUAUGGAGGGGAACCGCCUGAACUGAAACAUCUAAGUAGGGCGAGGAAGAGAAAUCAAACGAGAUUUCGUAAGUAGUGGCGAGCGAACGCGAAAGAGGCUAAACCAAGAGAAGAAAUUCUUUUGGGGUUACGGACUGCGAUAUGUAUCUGAGGACUUAGCAGAAUGGUAUGGGAAAGCCAACCAGAGAAUGUGAUAGUCAUGUAUGCGAAAAGGAAUCAGAGCUAGCAGGAUCCAAAGUACCGCGGGACACGAGGAAUCCCGUGGGAAGUCGGGGGGACCACCCUCCAAGCCUAAAUACUACCUGAUGACCGAUAGAGGAGCAGUACCGUGAGGGAAAGGUGAAAAGGACCCCGGGAGGGGAGUGAAAGAGAACCUGAAACCUUGUGCUUACAAGCAGUCAAAGCACGUUAAAGUGUGAUGACGUACUUUUUGUAGAACGGUCCGGCGAGUUAUAGUAACGAGCAAGCUUAAGGUAUUGAGUACCGGAGGCGAAGCGAGAGCGAGUCUGAAUAGGGCGUAAAGUUCGUUGCCAUAGACCCGAAACCGGGUGACCUAUCCAUGAGCAGGCUGAAGUGAGAGUAAAAUCUCAUGGAGGGCCGAACCGACCCCCGUUGCAAUGGUGGCGGAUGACUUGUGGAUAGCGGAGAAAUUCCAAUCGAACUCGGAGAUAGCUGGUUCUCCCCGAAAUAGCUUUAGGGCUAGCGUUAUGUUAGAUUACCGGAGGUAAAGCACUGAAUGGUGGCGGGGCCGAUAAGGUUACCAAGACCUAUCAAACUCUGAAUGCCGGAUAAUUGAUGCAUAGCAGUCAGACAGCGUGAGAUAAGUUUCGUUGUCAAAAGGGAAACAGCCCAGACCCACAGCUAAGGUCCCAAAUUCAUGCUAAGUGGAAAACGAUGUGGAAUUGCGAAAACAACCAGGAUGUUGGCUUAGAAGCAGCCACUCAUUAAAAGAGUGCGUAAUAGCUCACUGGUCGAGUGACUCUGCGCCGAAAAUUUAACGGGGCUAAACUAUACACCGAAGCUUGGGAUACAUCUAAUGUAUGGUAGGAGAGCGUUCUGUAUGGGGAGAAGUCGUAGCGAAAGCGGCGGUGGACUAUACAGAAGUGAGAAUGCCGGAAUAAGUAGCGAGAAUUAAGUGAGAAUCUUAAUGGCCGAAAGUCUAAGGUUUUUGGAGGAAGGUUCGUCCGCUCCAAGUAAGUCGGGAGCUAAGGUCAGGCCGAAAGGCGUAGCCGAUGCACAUACGGUUGAUAUUCCGUAACCAUCUGUAAUUUAAGCAAAGGGACACUUCAAAAGGGUGUGACCCGGGCGUUGGUUGACCCGGGCGUAAGGGACCGAAAUUAGAGUAGGGAAGCACACUUAGCUGAAGGCGAGAAAAGCUUUGCGUAUAGAAACAGAUGCCCGUACCGCAAACCGACACAGGUGGACAGGAAGAGAAUUCUAAGGCCAGCGGGAGAAGGGUAGUUAAGGAACUCGGCAAAUUGACUCCGUAACUUCGGAAUAAGGAGUGCUCGAAAGAGCCGCAGAGAAUAGGCCCAGGCGACUGUUUAGCAAAAACACAGGUCUCUGCCAAAUCGAAAGAUGAAGUAUAGGGGCUGACACCUGCCCGGUGCCGGAAGGUUAAGAGGAGGAGUGAGAGCUCCGAAUUGAAGCCCCGGUAAACGGCGGCCGUAACUAUAACGGUCCUAAGGUAGCGAAAUUCCUUGUCGGGUAAGUUCCGACCCGCACGAAUGGUGUAACGAUCUGGGCACUGUCUCAACUACCCACCCGGCGAAAUUGUAGUACCGGUGAAGAUGCCGGUUACCUGCGGCAAGACGGAAAGACCCCAUGGAGCUUUACUGUAGCCUGAUAUUGGGUUUCGGAAAUCUAUGUACAGGAUAGGCGGGAGACUGGGAAACAUGAGCGUCAGCUUGUGUGGAGUCGAUGUUGGGAUACCGCCCUUAGGUUUCUGGAAUUCUAACCUGCGGCCGUGAAUCCGGUCGGGGGACAUUGUCAGGUGGGCAGUUUGACUGGGGCGGUCGCCUCCGAAAAGGUAACGGAGGCGCUCAAAGGUUAGCUCAGCACGGACGGAAACCGUGCCUCUGAGUGUAAACGCAAAAGCUAGCCUAACUGCGAGGGUGACGGCCCGAGCAGUAACGAAAGUUGGAGUUAGUGAUCCGGCGGUAUGUGAAUGGAAAUGCCGUCGCUCAACGGAUAAAAGCUACCCUGGGGAUAACAGGCUGAUCUCCCCCAAGAGUCCACAUCGACGGGGAGGUUUGGCACCUCGAUGUCGGCUCAUCGCAUCCUGGGGCUGUAUUCGGUCCCAAGGGUUUGGCUGUUCGCCAAUUAAAGCGGUACGCGAGCUGGGUUCAGAACGUCGUGAGACAGUUCGGUCCCUAUCUGUCGUGGGCGUAGGAUAUUUGAGGAGCGCUGUUCCUAGUACGAGAGGACCGGAAUGGACGCACCGCUGGUGUAUCGGUUGUCAUGCCAAUGGCACGGCCGAGCAGCUAUGUGCGGAUCGGAUAAACGCUGAAAGCAUCUAAGCGUGAAGCCGUCUCCAAGAUAAGAUAUCCCACUGUUUACAGUUAAGACCCCUUGUAGACUACGAGGUUGAUAGGUUCAAGGUGUAAGCACGGUAACGUGUUCAGCCAGCGAAUACUAAUCGGUCGAGGGCUUAAACC
RNAcentral lists this ribosomal RNA (2813 nucleotides) under human gut metagenome. Its description in RNAcentral is "bacterial LSU rRNA". It matches the Rfam family "Bacterial large subunit ribosomal RNA". The record is from RNAcentral.